This 1025-nucleotide ribosomal RNA is filed under the name uncultured bacterium. RNAcentral's name for it is "partial 16S ribosomal RNA". The record is from RNAcentral.
CCGUCAAUUCAUUUGAGUUUCAACCUUGCGGCCGUACUCCCCAGGUGGGAUACUUAUUGUGUUAACUGCGGCACAGAGGGGGUCGAUACCCCCUACACCUAGUAUCCAUCGUUUACAGCGUGGACUACCAGGGUAUCUAAUCCUGUUUGCUCCCCACGCUUUCGCGCCUCAGCGUCAGUUAUCGUCCAGAAAGUCGCCUUCGCCACUGGUGUUCCUCCUAAUCUCUACGCAUUUCACCGCUACACUAGGAAUUCCACUUUCCUCUCCGACACUCAAGAAAUACAGUUUCAGAUGCAGCCCCGAGGUUAAGCCUCGGUAUUUCACAUCUGACUUGCAUCCCCGCCUACGUGCCCUUUACACCCAGUAAUUCCGGACAACGCUCGCCACCUACGUAUUACCGCGGCUGCUGGCACGUAGUUAGCCGUGGCUUGUUUUUGAGGUACCGUCACUUCCUUCGUCCCUCAUCAAAGAAGUUUACGAUCCGAAGACCUUCUUCCUUCACGCGGCGUCGCUGCGUCAGGGUUUCCCCCAUUGCGCAAUAUUCCCCACUGCUGCCUCCCGUAGGAGUCUGGGCCGUGUCUCAGUCCCAAUGUGGCCGAUCAACCUCUCAGUUCGGCUACCGAUCGUCGCCUUGGUGAGCCGUUACCUCACCAACUAGCUAAUCGGACGCGGGCCCAUCUCUCACCGGAUGUUACUCCUUUGAUACCAAAGGGAUGCCCCCUCAGUAUAUUAUGCGGUAUUAGCACAGGUUUCCCUGUGUUAUCCCCCAGUAAGAGGCAGGUUGCCCACGCGUUACUCACCCGUCCGCCGCUAUCCGGCGUCCAACAUUCAGUACUCAGCUCUCCUGUGUUGGCUCUUAUAUUAGCAUCAAGCAAAAACUCUCAAUCCGUAUCAUUAGGAUGCUUUUGCUUCACGCUUGCUUUUCCGCCAACUCCGUCACUGAAUACUCAAUGUCAGACGCCCGGACCGCUCGACUUGCAUGUGUUAAGGCACGCCGCCAGCGUUCGUCCUGAGCCAUGAUCAAA